Ribosomal RNA from Lepisosteus oculatus (spotted gar), 119 nucleotides. The record is from Ensembl. Lineage: Eukaryota; Metazoa; Chordata; Actinopteri; Semionotiformes; Lepisosteidae.
UCCAGCAGCCAUGUCACCCUGCAACUCACAACUGGCAACCCACUGAAGCUCAGCAGGUGUGAGCCUGGUCAGUACCUGGAUGGGAGACCUCCUGGGAAAAACUAAGGUUGCUGCUGGAA